RNAcentral lists this ribosomal RNA (484 nucleotides) under uncultured bacterium. Its description in RNAcentral is "partial 16S ribosomal RNA". It matches the Rfam family "Bacterial small subunit ribosomal RNA", at positions 30 to 507 of the family's 1533-position model. The record is from RNAcentral.
AUUGAACGCUGGCGGCAGGCCUAACACAUGCAAGUCGAGCGGAUGAAGGGAGCUUGCUCCUGGAUUCAGCGGCGGACGGGUGAGUAAUGCCUAGGAAUCUGCCUGGUAGUGGAGGAUAACGUCCGGAAACGGGCGCUAAUACCGCAUACGUCCUGAGGGAGAAAGUGGGGGAUCUUCGGACCUCACGCUAUCAGAUGAGCCUAGGUCGGAUUAGCUAGUUGGUGGGGUAAAGGCCUACCAAGGCGACGAUCCGUAACUGGUCUGAGAGGAUGAUCAGUCACACUGGAACUGAGACACGGUCCAGACUCCUACGGGAGGCAGCAGUGGGGAAUAUUGGACAAUGGGCGAAAGCCUGAUCCAGUCAUGCCGCGUGUGUGAAGAAGGUCUUCGGAUUGUAAAGCACUUUAAGUUGGGAGGAAGGGCAGUAAGUUAAUACCUUGCUGUUUUGACGUUACCAACAGAAUAAGCACCGGCUAACUUCGUG